CGGAGGUACUCGAGUGGCGAACGGGUGAGUAACACGUGGGCAAUCUGCCCUGCACUUCGGGAUAAGCCUGGGAAACUGGGUCUAAUACCGGAUAGGACCUCAAGACGCAUGUCUUCUGGUGGAAAGCUUUUGCGGUGUGGGAUGGGCCCGCGGCCUAUCAGCUUGUUGGUGGGGUGACGGCCUACCAAGGCGACGACGGGUAGCCGGCCUGAGAGGGUGUCCGGCCACACUGGGACUGAGAUACGGCCCAGACUCCUACGGGAGGCAGCAGUGGGGAAUAUUGCACAAUGGGCGCAAGCCUGAUGCAGCGACGCCGCGUGGGGGAUGACGGCCUUCGGGUUGUAAACCUCUUUCACCAUCGACGAAGGUCCGGGUUUUCUCGGAUUGACGGUAGGUGGAGAAGAAGCACCGGCCAACUACGUGCCAGCAGCCGCGGUAAUACGUAGGGUGCGAGCGUUGUCCGGAAUUACUGGGCGUAAAGAGCUCGUAGGUGGUUUGUCGCGUUGUUCGUGAAAUCUCACGGCUUAACUGUGAGCGUGCGGGCGAUACGGGCAGACUAGAGUACUGCAGGGGAGACUGGAAUUCCUGGUGUAGCGGUGGAAUGCGCAGAUAUCAGGAGGAACACCGGUGGCGAAGGCGGGUCUCUGGGCAGUAACUGACGCUGAGGAGCGAAAGCGUGGGGAGCGAACAGGAUUAGAUACCCUGGUAGUCCACGCCGUAAACGGUGGGUACUAGGUGUGGGUUUCCUUCCUUGGGAUCCGUGCCGUAGCUAACGCAUUAAGUACCCCGCCU
Molecule: ribosomal RNA, 792 nt
Filed under: Mycobacterium avium
Lineage: Bacteria; Bacillati; Actinomycetota; Actinomycetes; Mycobacteriales; Mycobacteriaceae
Description: bacterial SSU rRNA
Rfam family: Bacterial small subunit ribosomal RNA
Source: RNAcentral